GACGAACGCUUGCGGCGUGCCUAAUGUAUGCAAGUCGAGCGGGUUUCCUUCCUUCGGGAGGGAAGCUAGCGGCGAACGGUUGAGUAACACGUAGGCAACCUGCCCCGAAGUCGGGAAUAACUCACCGAAAGGUGGGCUAAUACCGGAUGUGGAAGGCGAUCGCCUGGUCGCCUCUCUAAAGGUUUCGAUCGCUUCGGGAUGGGCCUGCGGCCUAUCAGCUUGUUGGUGGGGUAACGGCCUACCAAGGCGACGACGGGUAGCUGGUCUGAGAGGAUGGUCAGCCAGACAGGGACUGAGACACGGCCCUGACUCCUUUGGGGGCAGCAAUGAGGGAUAUUGCACAAUGGGGGCAACCCUGAUGCAGCGACGCCGCGUGGGUGACGAAGUCC
Molecule: ribosomal RNA, 389 nt
Filed under: uncultured bacterium
Lineage: Bacteria
Description: bacterial SSU rRNA
Rfam family: Bacterial small subunit ribosomal RNA
Source: RNAcentral